This 229-nucleotide long non-coding RNA is filed under the name Gossypium raimondii (Peruvian cotton). Its description in RNAcentral is "long non-coding RNA (GRAI_LNC007927)". The record is from RNAcentral. Lineage: Eukaryota; Viridiplantae; Streptophyta; Magnoliopsida; Malvales; Malvaceae.
GCCCCUUUGCUUUAUUUUAUUUUCAUUUUUUUCUUUCAAUUUUGUUUUUUAAUUUAAUUUAAUCCUUGCCUAUUUAAUGUGCUUGAUUUUCUUUAAAUAUUUAUUAUUCCAUUAUUUUUAAUGUAUUUAAUUUUAAAAUUAAUAUUAUUUUAAUGAUCAAGCUCAAUAAUAUUUUAAAUUUUUUAUUAACAUUGUUUAAAUUUAUCGAAUAUUAUUAUUUUAAUUUUGC